AGAGUUUGAUCCUGGCUUAGGAUGAACGCUAGCUACAGGCUUAACACAUGCAAGUCGAGGGGCAGCAUUGGAGUAGCAAUACUUCAGAUGGCGACCGGCGCACGGGUGAGUAACACGUAUCCAACCUGCCGCUUACUCGGGGAUAGCCUUUCGAAAGAAAGAUUAAUACCCGAUGGUAUAAAGAGUUCGCAUGUUCUCUUUAUUAAAGAAUUUCGGUAAGCGAUGGGGAUGCGUUCCAUUAGAUUGUUGGCGGGUAACGGCCCACCAAGUCUACGAUGGAUAGGGGUUCUGAGAGGAAGGUCCCCCACAUUGGAACUGAGACACGGUCCAAACUCCUACGGGAGGCAGCAGUGAGGAAUAUUGGUCAAUGGACGAGAGUCUGAACCAGCCAAAAGUAGCGUGAAGGAUGACUGCCCUAUGGGUUGUAAACUUCUUUUAUAAGGGAAUAAAGUGAGGGACGUGUCCCUUUUUGUAUGUACCUUAUGAAUAAGGAUCGGCUAACUCCGUGCCAGCCGCCGC
Molecule: ribosomal RNA, 519 nt
Filed under: uncultured bacterium
Lineage: Bacteria
Description: bacterial SSU rRNA
Rfam family: Bacterial small subunit ribosomal RNA
Source: RNAcentral